Molecule: ribosomal RNA, 335 nt
Filed under: uncultured bacterium
Lineage: Bacteria
Description: bacterial SSU rRNA
Rfam family: Bacterial small subunit ribosomal RNA
Source: RNAcentral
GAGUUUGAUCGUGGCUCAGGAUGAACGCUAGCGACAGGCUUAACACAUGCAAGUCGAGGGGCAACGGGGGUGAGCAAUCAUCUGCCGGCGACCGGCGCACGGGUGAGUAACACGUAUGCAACCUGCCCGUCACAGGGGGAUAAUCGAGAGAAAUCUCGUCUAAUACCGCAUACACUCUUCGGGAGGCAUCUUCGGGAGAGGAAAGAUUAAUUGGUGACGGAUGGGCAUGCGGGACAUUAGCUAGUUGGCGGGUAACGGCCCACCAAGGCGACGAUGUCUAGGGGUUCUGAGAGGAAGGUCCCCCCACACUGGUACUGAGACACGGACCAGACUCC